AAUCAGCCGCCACUUUCAUUUUCCUCCACCGCCGAUCCACCACUGAAGCUAUUUCUUCUCUCAUUGAAGUAUUAGAUCAAGUAAUCUUUCACAAGAUGUUAUUGAUGAGGUCUUUUACAAAUUGUAAAGUGUUUUCAAGCAGAUUCAAAGAAGGAAAAUCUUCAAUUACUCUCAAAAUAUCUGUUGGAAGUUUUAAUUCUCUGAUGUUCCUCUUAAUUCCCUCAUGUUGAUAAGGGUUUUACGUACAGCUUCAAAACACAUGUGCGUAGAUUAUAUGGUUUGUUAAGGUGGUGAAUCUACAUGCAAUGGCCAAUGUAUUAUUUACAGCAGGCAACAACCAAUUUUCACCUAGACAACCGUCGGGGUUCAAUGAUAAUGAUUUUACUUCUCAACCUUUCUCUUUUUAAUUGGUUAUGUUAAUUAUUUUAUUUGAUCAUGUGGGUUACUUAAUAUAUCAACCUUAUCAAGGGAGUUGUGAAGAUCAAGCAGUAAUGAAGAAGAAAUGCAAAUCCCAGUUGAAAAAGGUCCUCCAGUCGGAGUGCGGGGUAAUCCUUUUGGGAACAUCUCACCAGUAAAUUGGUCAAGUUUGUGUGACCUCUUUGUUAUGGAGAGUAUUAAGAAAUGUCGUGAUCGUCAUGAGAAUUUUAAUGCCUCGAGGGCAUACAUAGUCAGGUUCAAGGGACAACAAAGGUUUCAAGGGCAUAUGUUGCCAGUUUCACGGGACGAAAAAUAAAUAUAUACAUAGAGAAAAUGGAACAAUUUAAGGAAGCCAACACAAAUCUUGGGCACAAUACACUCGUUAAUGGUUCUUGAUCCAGCUGAUUCUCCAACCAUUGAAGAUCCAGAAGCUGCUUAGUGCUUAGUUUUAUGUUACUCCUUGUUUUUAGUUAAAGUUACAUGAGUGCUAGUUUUCUUCAAUAAUUUAGAAGUGUUGUCUUUUUAAUAGUUCAAUUACUGCUUAAGUUAUUAGAAAAUUAUUCUGUUUAAAUGGUUUUCCUUUCUAUAUUAUUUACAUAUUUUAAUGAAUUACAAAGACUACAUUUGUUGCUGACUA
Papaver somniferum (opium poppy) is the source of this 1054-nucleotide long non-coding RNA. RefSeq lists it as uncharacterized. The record is from RefSeq and is a predicted model, not a curated record. The transcript is spliced from 4 exons. NCBI's taxonomy places the organism in Eukaryota, Viridiplantae, Streptophyta, Magnoliopsida, Ranunculales, Papaveraceae.